This 465-nucleotide ribosomal RNA is filed under the name Vreelandella stevensii. RNAcentral's name for it is "partial 16S ribosomal RNA". It matches the Rfam family "Bacterial small subunit ribosomal RNA", at positions 338 to 795 of the family's 1533-position model. The record is from RNAcentral. Lineage: Bacteria; Pseudomonadati; Pseudomonadota; Gammaproteobacteria; Oceanospirillales; Halomonadaceae.
CCUACGGGGGGCUGCAGUGGGGAAUAUUGGACAAUGGGGGCAACCCUGAUCCAGCCAUGCCGCGUGUGUGAAGAAGGCCCUCGGGUUGUAAAGCACUUUCAGUGAGGAAGAACGCCUGGUGGUUAAUACCCAUCAGGAAAGACAUCACUCACAGAAGAAGCACCGGCUAACUCCGUGCCAGCAGCCGCGGUAAUACGGAGGGUGCGAGCGUUAAUCGGAAUUACUGGGCGUAAAGCGCGCGUAGGUGGCUUGAUAAGCCGGUUGUGAAAGCCCCGGGCUCAACCUGGGAACGGCAUCCGGAACUGUCAAGCUAGAGUGCAGGAGAGGAAGGUAGAAUUCACGGUGUAGCGGUGAAAUGCGUAGAGAUCGGGAGGAAUACCAGUGGCGAAGGCGGCCUUCUGGACUGACACUGACACUGAGGUGCGAAAGCGUGGGUAGCAAACAGGAUUAGAUACCCGGGUAGUC